Molecule: long non-coding RNA, 1215 nt
Organism: Gasterosteus aculeatus aculeatus (three-spined stickleback)
Lineage: Eukaryota; Metazoa; Chordata; Actinopteri; Perciformes; Gasterosteidae
Source: Ensembl
GUAAAUCCCUAAAGUGUUUUCAAUAUUUGUGUUAUUAUUUACCCGACGCCAUGAGGCGGAAUUAUUGUCCCUUUGACGGAGAUGUUGGAGAGAGGGUGUGAAAAAUGAGAAGAAGGUUCAUCACCAAAAGGCAGAGCGGAGGACACGCUGCGAGGAACAGGGAAGAGGACGGUCGGCAGCGGGGGGAAUCCCUCUGCAUGGUAACGCGUCUCUUUCGCAGCCAAAGAAAGAAGAACGAUGUGGAGCUGUCACGGUUUUAUGGCUGGACGUGACCGUGAUGUGGAAACUAAUCUGGCACCUGAACCUUUCCCUGACCCGGCCAGAGGCGCAGAGAGUCCAGUGCGAAGUUACUUUGGGGUUGAAAAACCAGGAGAAGAAAGGAACCAAUUAAGAAGCCUAUACUUUUUCCCAACCCACUUUUUUUCCAGACUUGCCCUUUCCUCAAAAUUAGUGAAUGAUUAAUCGUGUAUUGCAUCUCUCCUGUUUUUCGCAUUAAACAAGUUAUUAUACAAACCAUGGCUCCUUAUCACUGUCAGCACAGAGGAGUCAGAGGCGCACGGCUCUGGACGCUGGCCAGGCGGAGGUCCAUAUCUCCCCACAAUGUUGACACUCGGAGCUCUUAACAGCCGGGCUUGGGUUACCUACACUCAGCCGAAGAUAACUCUUUCUGCGAGGACUACAUCGGCCAGCAUUAAGGCCAAUAUAAAAAUUCAACUCUUUCGGCAGACUUGGGGACAUCUCCCAUGCGAUGCAGACGAAACGGGAGAACGUUUACGUGAAUCUGGGUUGUGAUGAAAUUAUUUUAGCGUUGAACUUAACUUGGUGACGGAGAAUGGGCCUUGAUUAUACAGCAAUACAGUCUCCGUAUUAGCAUUGCUUUAUGCACAUCGUCACAUACACUACAGGGAGUUGGUUUUAAUCUUAGUCUAAAUGACCCAUUUUGUUCACUCUCAUUGAAAGGCUCUUCGCGCAACAGAACACCUUCGCAUUGUUGCUGUACAAAUCUUUAAAUUUCAUAGUGAAAUGAAUAAAUUGUUAUUAUUUUUUAGGAUUGUUAUCAAAGGGAGAAGACCAAAAUAUUAUCUUCCAUCUGUCAUGUCUUUAUGGGGAACUUUGCAUAAAUUUAUUUGACCCCUUUCCAUGUCAAUUUUAAGUGUUUGUAUUACUUCUGCACAAUAAAGUUCCAACUUCAUCCACGAUAUAUUACCUCUGCAA